This 831-nucleotide ribosomal RNA is filed under the name uncultured bacterium. RNAcentral describes it as "bacterial SSU rRNA". It matches the Rfam family "Bacterial small subunit ribosomal RNA", at positions 9 to 873 of the family's 1533-position model. The record is from RNAcentral.
GAUUGUUGAUCCUGGCUCAGAAUGAACGUGGGCGGCGUGGAUUAGGCAUGCAAGUCGAGCGAUCGUAGCAAUACGGGAGCGGCAAACGGGGUAGGAAUACCUCGGAACAUACCCUUAGGUCGGGGAUAGCGGCGGGAAACUGCCGGUAAUACCCGAUGAUCUCGAGAGAGCAAAGGUUUACUGCCUAGGGAGUGGCCGAGGCGAUAUUAGCUAGUUGGUGAGGUAAUGGCUCACCAAGGCUUCGAUGUCUAGGGGGCGUGAGAGCGCGACCCCCACCACUGGGACUGAGAAACUGCCCAGACACCUACGGGUGGCUGCAGUCGAGAAUCUUCGUCAAUGGGGGAAACCCUGAACGAGCGACGCCGCGUGUGGGAUGAAGGCCUUUGGGUUGUAAACCACUGUCAGGGGGGAUGAAACCGCAAGGUUGACAGAGCCCCAGAGGAAGCACGGGCUAAGUUCGUGCCAGCAGCCGCGGUAAUACGAACUGUGCGAACGUUAUUCGGAAUCACUGGGCUUACAGGGUGCGUAGGUGGCCGGACAAGUCAGGUGUGAAAUCCCUCAGCUCAACUGAGGAACUGCGCUUGAAACUGUUUGGCUAGAGUGAGCUAGGGGUGCUUGGAACUGCCAGUGGAGCGGUGAAAUGUGUUGAUAUUGGCAGGAACACCGGAGCCGAAAGGGAAGCACUGGGGCUUAACUGACACUGAGGCACGAAAGCCAGGGGAGCAAACGGGAUUAGAUACCCCGGUAGUCCUGGCCGUAAACUAUGAGAACUGGGCGGGGGAGUGCUUGCACAUCCCGGCCGUAGCGAAAGCGUUAAGUCUCCGCCUGGGA